AACAGACUUAAAUAGUUAAAUGAGCAUUGAUCUGAGAGAUACAAACGAAAGUUAGGGUUUCAAAGGAAACCCAAAUAGAAACUAGAACCUGUUAUAUCUUCAAAGAUCAUAACAAAGAUGGUGUGAUUUUGCCCAAAAUCAUACCGGAGAAGCCAUGAACAACCAAAAUAGAAACCCUAUAUACAAAACGACAUGGCCCAGGGCCCUUGAAGGCCUCAGAGAUAUAAUCAAGGUGAUGGAGGAACCAUUGGAGGCUUGGGGUUGAAAGGUGGUCGCCGGAGAUGAUCGGAGAAGGAGGCGGUGAUUGAAGGGGAUUAGGGUUUGGCUGAGAGAGAAGAGAGAGACGACGGCAUCUGAAGUCG
RNAcentral lists this long non-coding RNA (362 nucleotides) under Nicotiana benthamiana. RNAcentral describes it as "long non-coding RNA (NBEN_LNC020237)". Lineage: Eukaryota; Viridiplantae; Streptophyta; Magnoliopsida; Solanales; Solanaceae. The record is from RNAcentral.